Molecule: ribosomal RNA, 661 nt
Filed under: uncultured euryarchaeote
Lineage: Archaea; Methanobacteriati; Methanobacteriota
Description: bacterial SSU rRNA
Rfam family: Archaeal small subunit ribosomal RNA
Source: RNAcentral
AGUCGGGGAUUUUUUGCAAUGCGCGCAAGCGUGACAAAGCGAACCAGAGUGUUUCUCUUUUUGAGAGACUUUUGUUAGCUGUAAAAAGGCUAACGAAUAAGGACUGGGCAAGACCGGUGCCAGCCGCCGCGGUAAUACCGGCGGUCCAAGUCGCAGCCACAUCUAUUGGGUCUAAAACAUCCGUAGCUUGUUAUGUAAGUCUCUUGUGAAAUCUUGUCUCUUAAGGGCAAGGCGUGCAAGAGAUACUGUAUAACUAGAGACCGGGGGAUGUGAAGAGUACGAUCGAGGUAGUGGUAAAAUACGUUGAUCUCAAUCGGACUAACAAUAGCGAAGGCACUUCACAACAACGGUUCUGACAGUGAGGGAUGAAGGCUAGGGGCGCAAAACGGAUUAGAUACCCGUGUAGUCCUAGCAGUAAACACUGCGCACUAAACCUUGUGAUCUCCUCGAGAGAUUGCAGGGCUGAAAGGAAGCUGUAGAGUGCGCUACCUGGGAAGUAUAGUCGCAAGGCCGAAACUUAAAGGAAUUGGCGGGGGAGCACUACAACGGGUGACGCGUGCGGUUCAAUUAGAUUACACACCGUGAACCUUACCAGGACCGACAGCAGGAUGAAGGUCAGUCUGAAGGGCUUACCUGACACGCUGAGAGGUGGUGCAUGGCC